Molecule: long non-coding RNA, 1392 nt
Organism: Hyla sarda
Lineage: Eukaryota; Metazoa; Chordata; Amphibia; Anura; Hylidae
Exons: 6
Source: RefSeq, a predicted model, not a curated record
GCAAUAUGUGCAUGAAUCAAGAGUUCCAGUGGUGGUGUAGCUUCCUGGUGGUCGGUGGCAAGGAUCCAGACCGAAGUAGCAAGCAGAAGUAAUGGAAGAAAAUACCAGGUCAGACCAUUAUUUUUACAAUGGAAAGAGGGCUGUGCCUCUUUCGGCAUAGUUGCUGCAGCUCCUCCUGCACCGCCACUACAAUUACUCUUUUGUCAGCAUUUGACCGGAUCUGAUUGUAUCCAUGUAUCAGGAAACGCUGCAGGAUGAAAAUGCAAACGCAUCGAUUGGAGACACAGCACACUGGAUCCUUCCAACUCAUCUUCAUCACAUCUAUACUCCCUUCUGUAGUGACAACUUGGCCAGGUGUUAUCGGUAAGUAUGGAUUCGACUUGAGACGCUGGUAUGUGGUUUCGUCCCGAAUUAAUCGCUGAACCAUAUAAAGGUCUAAGGAAGGUAGCGCAGUAGUGAUGUGCGUGCGUUCCACGCUACAAUACAUGUGCGUUCCAGCUGCCGGAACUAUAUUCGAGAUCGGAAACAGCCAUUAAAUGGUUUAAACCUAGAGUUAUACGUCCAAAGGUUUAUGCAUAACAAUCGCCAUAUGGAGUCCAUGUUUUGUAAAAUGCUAAUAAUCCAGCCCGCGGCUUACAACAAACUGACACCAAAAUUAAAAUACAAGGACUAUAUAAACCUUCAUACAACAGCUAUUGAAAAAGGGGUCUCCCCGAAACGUGUCUAGCGUACCAUCUAGCUCUACCCUACCAUAUUGACCACCUAUAGGGUCCAAUUCAAGUUAUCCAGACUUGCAACAGCUGGAACCCCCUGCAAUAGGGACCACUGUUUGAGACCAACUGGGACGUGCUUACUCCACCACGAGAACGCCGUCCACACACGGCAUUUGGAUUAUCGUUGCCUGCGUCCACUCACCACAGCUGCUUGCCGCAAUAUUCUCCGCACCAUCGGAGGAACCCUGAGGUUUUACCGCCCAGACGCAUCGGGCCAGCCGCUGAGCAGAGCCAAUCCAUGCCACGGAGCCCAGCACAUCAGGGGUUACCAUCUCUGGGAUACGGAGCGGUGAGUGGUGCAGAAGCACUAACCACUAUCUAUCUACCUACAACUAUUAACUAUUGUUGCAACUUAUGAUAAAAACUUUGAUACUAUCUAUUUCAAUUAUCGCGAUCAGAACACUUGCUAUACAAAGCUAUGGCCAAAGUCUGCUGAGAUACGGCCAGCAACAGACUAAUAACUCCGAUCUGAUCCAAUAGGUGGCUGCUAUAUGGACUAAUUAUUUUAACUAUUUUUUAAUUAAUUUUUUAUCUAUUUUUAAUACUAUCAUUUUGACCUAUUAUCAUUGCAUUAAUCUGUUUGUCGUCUAGUCCACAGCAAGGGCCCUGCUUGGACUAU